CGGUUCUACGGGACGCAGCAGUGGAGAAUAUUGCACAAUGGGGGAAACCCUGAUGCAGCAACGCCGCGUGAGUGAAGAAGUAUUUCGGUAUGUAAAGCUCUAUCAGCAGGGAAGAAGAAAGACGGUACCUGACUAAGAAGCCCCGGCUAACUACGUGCCAGCAGCCGCGGUAAUACGUAGGGGGCAAGCGUUAUCCGGAUUUACUGGGUGUAAAGGGAGCGUAGACGGCAUAGCAAGUCUGAAGUGAAAGCCCGUGGCUCAACCGCGGAACUGCUUUGGAAACUGUUACGCU
This 292-nucleotide ribosomal RNA is filed under the name uncultured bacterium. RNAcentral describes it as "partial 16S ribosomal RNA". It matches the Rfam family "Bacterial small subunit ribosomal RNA", at positions 334 to 642 of the family's 1533-position model. The record is from RNAcentral.